UAGGGAAUCUUCCGCAAUGGGCGAAAGCUUGACGGAGCAACGCCGCGUGAGUGAUGAAGGUCUUCGGAUCGUAAAACUCUGUUAUUAGGGAAGAACAAAUGUGUAAGUAACUAUGCACGUCUUGACGGUACCUAAUCAGAAAGCCACGGCUAACUACGUGCCAGCAGCCGCGGUAAUACGUAGGUGGCAAGCGUUAUCCGGAAUUAUUGGGCGUAAAGCGCGCGUAGGCGGUUUUUUAAGUCUGAUGUGAAAGCCCACGGCUCAACCGUUGAGGGUCAUUGGAAACUGGAAAACUUGAGUGCAGAAGAGGAAAGUGGAAUUCCAUGUGUAGCGGUGAAAUGCGCAGAGAUAUGGAGGAACACCAGUGGCGAAGGCGACUUUCUGGUCUGUAACUGACGCUGAUGUGCGAAAGCGUGGGGAUCAAACAGG
This 429-nucleotide ribosomal RNA is filed under the name Actinomycetes bacterium. RNAcentral's name for it is "Actinobacteria bacterium partial 16S ribosomal RNA". It matches the Rfam family "Bacterial small subunit ribosomal RNA", at positions 355 to 776 of the family's 1533-position model. Lineage: Bacteria; Bacillati; Actinomycetota; Actinomycetes. The record is from RNAcentral.